RNAcentral lists this ribosomal RNA (440 nucleotides) under uncultured bacterium. RNAcentral describes it as "partial 16S ribosomal RNA". It matches the Rfam family "Bacterial small subunit ribosomal RNA", at positions 338 to 795 of the family's 1533-position model. The record is from RNAcentral.
CCUACGGGUGGCAGCAGUAGGGAAUAUUGCUCAAUGGGGGAAACCCUGAAGCAGCAACGCCGCGUGGAGGAUGAAGCUUUUCGGCUCGUAAACUCCUUUUGUUAGAGAAGAUAAUGACGGUAUCUAACGAAUAAGCACCGGCUAACUCCGUGCCAGCAGCCGCGGUAAUACGGAGGGUGCAAGCGUUACUCGGAUUUACUGGGUGUAAAGAGCGCGUAGGCGGGAUAGCAAGUCAGAUGUGAAAUCCUAUGGCUUAACCAUAGAACUGCAGUUGAAACUGGGAUUCUAGAGUAUGGGAGAGGUAGGUGGAAUUCUUGGUGUAGGGGUAAAAUGCGUAGAGAUCAAGAGGAAUACUGAUUGCGAAGGCGGCCUGCUAGAACAUAACUGACGCUGAUGCGCGAAAGCGUGGGGAGCAAACAGGAUUAGAUACCCCAGUAGUC